UGCAUGGUGGAGCAGUUGGUAGCACUGUUGCCUUUUAAUGCAAAGGUCCUGGGUACGACACCCAGCCGGGUGUCUUUCUGCAU
Crenichthys baileyi (White River springfish) is the source of this 83-nucleotide non-coding RNA. NCBI's taxonomy places the organism in Eukaryota, Metazoa, Chordata, Actinopteri, Cyprinodontiformes, Goodeidae. The record is from the annotation of a GenBank genome assembly.